RNAcentral lists this ribosomal RNA (331 nucleotides) under uncultured bacterium. RNAcentral describes it as "bacterial SSU rRNA". It matches the Rfam family "Bacterial small subunit ribosomal RNA", at positions 568 to 899 of the family's 1533-position model. The record is from RNAcentral.
CGCGUAGGCGGACAGUUUAGUCAGAGGUGAAAGCCCAGGGCUCAACCUUGGAACUGCCUUUGAUACUGGCUGUCUUGAGUUCGGGAGAGGUGUGUGGAACUCCGAGUGUAGAGGUGAAAUUCGUAGAUAUUCGGAAGAACACCAGUGGCGAAGGCGACACACUGGCCCGAUACUGACGCUGAGGCGCGAAAGCGUGGGGAGCAAACAGGAUUAGAUACCCUGGUAGUCCACGCUGUAAACGAUGAGUGCUAGUUGUCGGCAUGCAUGCAUGUCGGUGACGCAGCUAACGCAUUAAGCACUCCGCCUGGGGAGUACGGUCGCAAGAUUAAAA